GACGAACGCUGGCGGCGUGCUUAACACAUGCAAGUCGAACGGGAACCUUUAUUUCGGUAAAGGUGAGAGUGGCAAACGGGUGAGUAACACGUAGGCAACCUGCCGACAGGAUGGGGACAACAUUCCGAAAGGAAUGCUAAUACCGAAUGGAGUCCGGGGAUGGCAUCAUCCUCGGAUAAAAGAUGGCCUCUGAAUAUGCUAUCACCUGUCGAUGGGCCUGCGUCUGAUUAGCCAGUUGGCGGGGUAACGGCCCACCAAAGCGACGAUCAGUAGCCGGUCUGAGAGGAUGAACGGCCACAUUGGGACUGAGACACGGCCCAGACUCCUACGGGAGGCAGCAGUGGGGAAUCUUCCACAAUGGGCGAAAGCCUGAUGGAGCAACGCCGCGUGAGUGAAGAAGGUCUUCGGAUCGUAAAGCUCUGUUGCACGGGACGAAAACCGAGCUUGAGAAUAUU
Molecule: ribosomal RNA, 455 nt
Filed under: Selenomonas sputigena
Lineage: Bacteria; Bacillati; Bacillota; Negativicutes; Selenomonadales; Selenomonadaceae
Description: bacterial SSU rRNA
Rfam family: Bacterial small subunit ribosomal RNA
Source: RNAcentral